RNAcentral lists this ribosomal RNA (497 nucleotides) under uncultured bacterium. RNAcentral's name for it is "partial 16S ribosomal RNA". It matches the Rfam family "Bacterial small subunit ribosomal RNA", at positions 28 to 507 of the family's 1533-position model. The record is from RNAcentral.
GAUGAACGCUGGCGGCGUGCCUAAUACAUGCAAGUCGAGCGAACGGACGAGAAGCUUGCUUCCCUGAUGUUAGCGGCGGACGGGUGGGUAACACGUGGAUAACCUACCUCUAAGACUGGGAUAACUUCGGGAAACCGUAGCUAAUACCGGAUCAUAUUUUGAACCGCAUGGUUCAAAAGUUAAUGACGGUCUUGCUGUCACUUAUAGCUGGAUCCGCGCUGCAUUAGCUAGUUGGUAAGGUAACGGCUUACCAAGGCAACGAUGCGUAGCCGACCUGAGAGGGUGAUCGGCCACACUGGAACUGAGACACGGUCCAGACUCCUACGGGAGGCAGCAGUAGGGAAUCUUCCGCAAUGGGCGAAAGCCUGACGGAGCAACGCCGCGUGAGUGAUGAAGGCCUUCGGAUCGUAAAACUCUGUUAUUAGGGAAGAACAUAUGUGGAAGUAACUGUGCACAUCUUGACGGUACCUAAUCAGAAAGCCACGGCUAACUACGUG